Molecule: ribosomal RNA, 405 nt
Filed under: uncultured prokaryote
Also listed under: 1 other name
Description: bacterial SSU rRNA
Rfam family: Bacterial small subunit ribosomal RNA
Source: RNAcentral
UGGGGAAUAUUGGGCAAUGGAGGCAACUCUGACCCAGCAACGCCGCGUGAAGGAAGAAGGUUUUCGGAUUGUAAACUUCUGUCGCGAGGGACGAAGAAUGACGGUACCUCGUAAGAAAGCCCCGGCUAACUACGUGCCAGCAGCCGCGGUAAUACGUAGGGGGCAAGCGUUGUCCGGAAUGACUGGGCGUAAAGGGAGCGUAGGCGGCAAGAUAAGUUAGAUGUGAAAGCCCGCAGCUUAACUGCGGAACUGCAUCUAAAACUGUCUAGCUUGAGUGCAGGAGAGGUAAGUGGAAUUCCUAGUGUAGCGGUGGAAUGCGUAGAUAUUAGGAGGAACACCAGAGGCGAAGGCGACUUACUGGACUGUAACUGACGCUGAGGCUCGAAAGCGUGGGGAGCAAACAGG